GCCUAGGAAUCUGCCUGGUAGUGGGGGACAACGUCUCGAAAGGGACGCUAAUACCGCAUACGUCCUACGGGAGAAAGCAGGGGACCUUCGGGCCUUGCGCUAUCAGAUGAGCCUAGGUCGGAUUAGCUAGUUGGUGAGGUAAUGGCUCACCAAGGCGACGAUCCGUAACUGGUCUGAGAGGAUGAUCAGUCACACUGGAACUGAGACACGGUCCAGACUCAUACGGGAGGCAGCAGUGGGGAAUAUUGGACAAUGGGCGAAAGCCUGAUCCAGCCAUGCCGCGUGUGUGAAGAAGGUCUUCGGAUUGUAAAGCACUUUAAGUUGGGAGGAAGGGUUGUAGAUUAAUACUCUGCAAUUUUGACGUUACCGACAGAAUAAGCACCGGCUAACUCUGUGCCAGCAGCCGCGGUAAUACAGAGGGUGCAAGCGUUAAUCGGAAUUACUGGGCGUAAAGCGCGCGUAGGUGGUUUGUUAAGUUGGAUGUGAAAGCCCCGGGCUCAACCUGGGAACUGCAUUCAAAACUGACAAGCUAGAGUAUGGUAGAGGGUGGUGGAAUUUCCUGUGUAGCGGUGAAAUGCGUAGAUAUAGGAAGGAACACCAGUGGCGAAGGCGACCACCUGGACUGAUACUGACACUGAGGUGCGAAAGCGUGGGGAGCAAACAGGAUUAGAUACCCUGGUAGUCCACGCCGUAAACGAUGUCAACUAGCCGUUGGGAGCCUUGAGCUCUUAGUGGCGCAGCUAACGCAUUAAGUUGACCGCCUGGGGAGUACGGCCG
RNAcentral lists this ribosomal RNA (777 nucleotides) under Pseudomonas sp. RNAcentral describes it as "bacterial SSU rRNA". It matches the Rfam family "Bacterial small subunit ribosomal RNA", at positions 115 to 888 of the family's 1533-position model. Lineage: Bacteria; Pseudomonadati; Pseudomonadota; Gammaproteobacteria; Pseudomonadales; Pseudomonadaceae. The record is from RNAcentral.